This 741-nucleotide long non-coding RNA is filed under the name Trifolium pratense (red clover). RNAcentral describes it as "long non-coding RNA (TPRA_LNC007480)". The record is from RNAcentral. Lineage: Eukaryota; Viridiplantae; Streptophyta; Magnoliopsida; Fabales; Fabaceae.
UUAGGUUCAGCUUCUCAGCUCCUUCAUAGAGGCUGGUUCACAACCCAAGAUUCUUUUCAUUCUAUUGUAGCUCUCAAGCACUAAACAUUUUUGCUGUCUGUCACCGGAUGACUAGUUAUUUUCAUUUCCUUGUCAUUUAAAAUCCAGACCAAAAAUCAAGAAAAUGCAUUGUUUUAGAUUUGGGGAUUUAUAGGGAUUGGUUUUUUUGAAUAGAUAUUACCUCGUGGGGGUCAUAAGUGAGAGUCAUAAGAUGUAGCUGAUGUUCAUUGCAUGGAAGAAGCAAGCAAAAUUCAAAAUUUAUGCACCCAUGUACUUGCUACCUUAGAAGGCCUUUAGUGGCACUGAGAACUCUCAAACUUUGUUUGUUCAGCUUAAAUUGCAAAUAACCCGUAACAUUGGUUGAGUUCAUCGUGUUGCAUAUAUUGCUGUGUAUUAUCUUCCAAAUGAUAAAAUGCUAAGUUGGCUUUAUGCUAGUUAUACUUGUAUGUUUAAUGGGUGCCUGAAGCUUUUUGCAAAGUUUUUAGUGACUAAAGUUUGACUCUGUUAAUAUACUCUUAUACUGAUAAAAAAAAUAUAUCUGAGCCUCGUACCAGAGGUAUCAGCAUAAUCAGGAUCCGAGCCUCCUACAAAAAAUAUACUCAAUCUCAAACUUGAGCUGCCUCUGCAGGAUCUGAACUCAACCCAAUUCCAAAAGGGUGCAGACGAGGUAGUAUCAUUCAGUUGGCUCUUCUUGUCCUUGGG